This 248-nucleotide ribosomal RNA is filed under the name uncultured Acholeplasma sp. RNAcentral's name for it is "partial 16S ribosomal RNA". It matches the Rfam family "Bacterial small subunit ribosomal RNA", at positions 1131 to 1381 of the family's 1533-position model. The record is from RNAcentral. Lineage: Bacteria; Bacillati; Mycoplasmatota; Mollicutes; Acholeplasmatales; Acholeplasmataceae.
UUGGGGACUCUAGCGAGACUGCCAGUGAUAAACUGGAGGAAGUGGGGAUGACGUCAAAUCAUCAUGCCCCUUAUGACCUGGGCUACAAACGUGAUACAAUGGCUGAACAAAGGGCAGCGAAGCAGUGAUGUGGAGCGAAACCCAAAAAGCAGUCUCAGUUCGGAUUGAAGUCUGCAACUCGACUUCAUGAAGUUGGAAUCGCUAGUAAUCGUAGAUCAGAACGCUACGGUGAAUACGUUCUCGGGUUU